Molecule: ribosomal RNA, 252 nt
Filed under: uncultured bacterium
Lineage: Bacteria
Description: partial 16S ribosomal RNA
Rfam family: Bacterial small subunit ribosomal RNA
Source: RNAcentral
UACGUAGGUGGCAAGCGUUAUCCGGAAUUAUUGGGCGUAAAGCGCGCGUAGGCGGUUUUUUAAGUCUGAUGUGAAAGCCCACGGCUCAACCGUGGAGGGUCAUUGGAAACUGGAAAACUUGAGUGCAGAAGAGGAAAGUGGAAUUCCAUGUGUAGCGGUGAAAUGCGCAGAGAUAUGGAGGAACACCAGUGGCGAAGGCGACUUCUGGUCUGUAACUGACGCUGAUGUGCGAAAGCGUGGGGAUCAAACAGG